AGCAGCCGCGGUAAUUCCAGCUCCAAUAGCGUAUAUUAAAGUUGUUGCAGUUAAAAAGCUCGUAGUUGAAUUUCGGGAUCAAUUAAUUGGUCGUGCCUAUGGUACGUACUGAUUUUAUUGGUUUCCCCCCUUCUGACGAACCAUGAUGUCAUUAAUUUGGUGUCGUGGAGAAUCAGGACUGUUACUUUGAAAAAAUUAGAGUAGUUUAAAGCAGGCUAACGCUUGAAUACAUUAGCAUGGAAUAAUGAAAUAGGACGUUUGAUCCUUAUUUUGUUGGUUUCUAGGAUCGACGUAAUGAUUAAUA
RNAcentral lists this ribosomal RNA (304 nucleotides) under uncultured Glomus. Its description in RNAcentral is "bacterial SSU rRNA". It matches the Rfam family "Eukaryotic small subunit ribosomal RNA", at positions 569 to 874 of the family's 1831-position model. The record is from RNAcentral. Lineage: Eukaryota; Fungi; Glomeromycota; Glomeromycetes; Glomerales; Glomeraceae.